Molecule: RNA transcript, 2281 nt
Organism: Neltuma alba
Lineage: Eukaryota; Viridiplantae; Streptophyta; Magnoliopsida; Fabales; Fabaceae
Gene name: heterogeneous nuclear ribonucleoprotein 1
Exons: 3
Source: RefSeq, a predicted model, not a curated record
UCUCCCUCGCUCGCUCACCCCUACUCUCUUGUCGAGCCGGCCACACACAAACCCUCUCAUCCUCUUCCACCUCUACUUCCCAAUCCCCAAACCAAAAUCUUUUCAAAAUUGCUGCGAUUAAUUUCUUCAGAACUUAGCUUGCGGAGAGAAAGCGUGUGGAGAGUACUCAACGGGGGAGAGAGAGCGAAAUGGAUUCGGAUCAAGGGAAGCUUUUUAUUGGUGGGAUAUCGUGGGAUACGACGGAGGACAACCUGAAAGAUCAUUUCAGCAACUAUGGUGAUGUUUUGCACGCCUCCGUUAUGAGAGAGAAGAAUACUGGGAAGCCCAGAGGCUUUGGAUUCGUUGUGUUCGCGGAUCCUUCGAUCCUCGAUAGGGUUCUCGAGGAGAAGCACGUAAUCGAUGGCAGAACGGUAGAUGCCAAGAAGGCCUUCUCCAGAGAGGAUCAACAAAUUUCAGCCACGUCCAGGGCUGGAAAUCCCAACUCUUAUAGAAAUUCUGGAAAUGGAGGAAAUAUGAGGACCAAAAAAAUAUUUGUUGGUGGGUUGCCUCCGACAUUGAGUGAAGAGAAGUUUCGUGAGUAUUUUGAGGCUUAUGGUCAUGUAACUGAUGUAGUAGUCAUGUAUGACCAGAAUACUGGACGGCCACGUGGAUUUGGGUUUAUUUCAUUUGACACUGAAGAUGCAGUUGACAGGGUUUUGCAGAAGCCAUUUCACGAUUUAAAUGGCAAGCAAGUAGAGGUGAAGCGGGCACUUCCGAAGGAUGCUAAUCCUGGUGCGAGCGGCCGAAUGGGUACUGGGGGAGGAGGUGGCAGUGGUUAUCAGGGGUACGGGGCAUCUGGUGGCAAUCAAAAUGCAUAUGAUGGUCGGAUGGAUUCUGGUAGGUAUGUGCAGCCUCCAAGCACCGGGGGUGGAUUUCCACCUUAUGGUUCUUCUGGAUAUGGUGCUUCCGGGUACGGUUAUGGUCCUGCUAAUAAUGGCAUGGGUUUUGCCGGAUAUGGAAGUUAUGGUGGUGCAAGCACUGGGUAUGGUGGACCUGCUGGUGCAACCUAUGGGAAUCCUGGCAUCCCCAAUGCUGCUUAUGCCAGUGGUCCACCUGGUGCUCCAAGGAGUUCAUGGCCUGCUCAAGCUCCCUCUGGUUAUGGUUCUAUGGGCUAUGGGAAUGCUGCUGCUUGGGGUGCUACUGGUGGCAGUGCUGGAUCUGGCGGCACUGGUGGCCCUGGUUCAGCGCCUGCAGGUCAGUCACCCAGUGGAGCUGCUGGUUAUGGGAAUCAAGGAUAUGGUUAUGGUGGUUAUGGUGGGUAUGGUGGAAGUGAUAGUCCUUAUGGGAACCCUGGUGUAUAUGGUGCUGUGGGCGGGCGAUCAGGAAGUGCCCCAAACAGCUAUGCUGGUGGUCCAGGAGGAAAUGAACCACAAGGGAGUGGUGGUAACUACAAUGGAAGUGGCUAUGGUGAUGCAAAUGGAAGUUCAGGAUAUGGAAAUGCUGCAUGGAGAUCUGAAGCUGCACAACAAUCUGGAAAUUAUGGGACUCCUCAGUUAAAUGGUCCUCAUGGAGGGCAAGUUGGAUACGGAAGCAACUAUGGUGGUGCUCAGUCACGGCAGGCCCAACAGCAGUAAUUUUGACAAAUAGAUUAUCAACUGGAUCGUUCAAUUUCAUCUUUUGGACCCCUCUUCAAAUCUUGAUUUAUGAGAUCAUCAUGAAUUCUUCUGCCCAGCAUCAACCAAGUAGCCCAAGCAUAAUGUCAAUACACUUUGGGACUGGAGGAGAGGUGCACGAGUACUGAAGUGUAGCCAAGUGUCCACUUAUGUCUGAACACGAACUUCAUAAUGGGCUUGGUCAGGGUGGUUGAUCAGCAUGCUAUGAACGUUGUUCAGUCAAAUCGUGUUUUUCUGGGGCAAAGCGGCUUCACACUUGGGGAUUCCAGGCUUGUUCAAGUAUGAUAAAGUUCUUGACCUACUGUCUGGUUUGUGGUGUUUGACGGAAAGUGAGGUGGAUGGUGUGCAGUAGUGGACUAAAGCAGUUAGCCAUGACUUGUUCCAAAUCUUUGCCUGAAUGCUACUAGGUGACCAACCAAUUGAUAUACCCGAUGUUAACUUGUGGUUUCAUGUGCUAGAGGACUUUAGAGACUUGUUCAUAAUAGCGUUGGCAUGUUUUUAAUGGAAGUGGAUUGCUAACAGACUAAUUUCUUCUGAUGUAAAUUCUGUUUUGAUGUUUGACUGUGAUAAUGGCUUGUGAUAGAGACGUAGAAGAUUCCGAGUGGGAUUACCUCGUUCCUUUGAUAAUA